Molecule: ribosomal RNA, 253 nt
Filed under: uncultured bacterium
Lineage: Bacteria
Description: partial 16S ribosomal RNA
Rfam family: Bacterial small subunit ribosomal RNA
Source: RNAcentral
UACAGAGGGCUCAAGCGUUGUUCGGAUUCAUUGGGCGUAAAGGGUGCGUAGGUGGCGCCAUAAGUCAGGUGUGAAAUCUCGGGGCUUAACUCCGAAACUGCAUUUGAUACUGUGGUGCUUGAGGACUGGAGAGGAGACUGGAAUUUACGGUGUAGCAGUGAAAUGCGUAGAGAUCGUAAGGAAGACCAGUGGCGAAGGCGGGUCUCUGGACAGUUCCUGACACUGAGGCACGAAGGCCAGGGGAGCAAACGGG